AUAUAACAACAGUACAAAUUGUGUCCUUGGCUUGCAAAAUAGGAGUGUUUCAUAUUUACAAUAGGUACAGGAUAAUAUAUUAGAAUAACAAAAAAACCCAUUUUUUGGAACAAUUUAAAUAAUUUUCUUAUUAUUCCACAACACCUAAAAAAACAACAAAACCAGACAACCAUCAUUGUAUUUUCUUAAAAAUAGAUAUGAUACAGAUUCCAGUGUGUCAAGGGGGUUGGGUUUGCAUGGGAAGUGUUUGGGGAGAGGUGGGUGGGCUUGUGUUGCAAAGAGCGUGUCACUUCUUCCCCUGGACCUCAGUGACAUCUGUCCCAUGUGGUGGAGACCACGUUGCAUGAUGCUGCCCACUGCGGAUGCUGCUAGGGAUGUCAGAUUCGCUCAACGUGCAGGCUGACCGAGCUCUCAGAGCAGCUUCCCCCCUUCCUGCGGUGGAGGUGGGAGAGCCGGAGCACUGCAGAAAGGGUGCAGGGAGGGAGACUUUGUAGGAAGAAAAUGGGAAGGGGAAUCCAGGAGAAGCUGAGGACUCCCAGGUUCCUUAUUGGGCAGAGGAGCUGUCGUCUUGAUCAUCAUGAUCGCCUCACAAGACAUCACCUAAAACCAGUAAGAGGGGAACACUAUCCUCCAUUCAUGGGCUUUGGGCAGCUUCACUCUGGGGAAGCUGGAAGGAAGGUUGCAGACAGGGAAGUGAGACUGCAGGGUUCAGGCAAGGCUGCUGUUCCGGAGAGAGGCCCCUGAGAUUCUGAACUUCAUCUCCUAAGUGCCCUAGCCCCAAGGGCUCUGCUCCCACGGCCCUGUGUCUCGACGGCUGCUGUGCGUCUUCUUCUCCACACUGUUGCAGCAUGUCAUUCUUCCUUGUCUGUGUCCAUGGCACAGCAUGGCUGGGAGAGGGCCCUCCACAGGAGGGCUGCCAGCCCAGUGUCUCCAGGCAGCAGGUGAUGGCACAGCCCCGGCCGUGAUCAGGCUGGGUUUCCCAACAGGCACCGCUAGUUUGGCCCCGACUGCCCCCAGUCUACAUGCCCACCAGCGCCUCUUCAUUCUCGGUGGGGCUGGAGCCUUGAUGGCUAUGCUUGUCCCCAUUGCUGGAGCUGGGAAAAGGUCAGGAGCUGAAGCAGCAGAGGCAGUGCCACCUGAACAGUAGGCAGCGGUGGAAUGAGAGUAACUCUCCUGGCUGGGGGACCUCCCCAGGAGAAGGUAAGGCAGCUGGGUGGGUCGACUUACCUUCUUUACUGCACCCCUUUUGUGUAACGGGAACCUCUGUUGGUGGAGGAGGGAGGACUGUGUCUGCUGCAUCGGUGGCAAGAACCAGCAGCCUGGAGAACAGACAUACUCUUAGAAGGGCCCUCUCGUUCAUCACGUUUCCAGCACCUUGGAGAUAGCUGCUGCUCAAGAAGAUCCUCUAAAGGAGAAGAUGCAGGAAACAGCUCUUUCCUUCCAGGGACGUUUUAGUAACACAUUCAUGCUGUUAAUGUCUCAGCGAUGUUAGGAGAGAUCAAAAGUGACUUUGAGAGCCACGCUAUGGAAAGAGGUAGAAGGAGGAUGGUUGACACCGAAGCACCCGCUCCACGCAGAGCACAGGGUCCAGCUGGGCUCCACAUCUUGUCCUCUGGCAUCAUCUAUCUUCCAGCCCCUGCUGGAGUUCUAUUCUCUCCCCAGAGAGCUGCCUCUUCUGUGGCUCAGUGGAACAAACAGCUGGAGAAGACACGGGAGAGAUUUCCUGCCUCCCUGCAGGAGGGACGGCUUCUGGGGAGGGACUGUGGCUUUAACAUGUCUUUACACAGGCCAAAUAGCCUCAAAUUGGAUAAUAGCAAGAAGACAGCACAACAAACUCUGUCUCCUCCGCAUUCUACAGGGAGUUUUCGUGGGUUCUUGCUGUGUGCAAGCAAAGAGUUGGCAGAGGAUGGGUAAGUAGAAAGCUAGAAUGAGGGGCCAGCCACUUCUGCUGUCCUCUUGACCUGGCCUCAGUCCAACUGUGUUUUCCUUUGUCUUUUUUUCUGCAGGGAUGUCCCUCCGCCACUUCCUUUGCCAGUUUAAGUGCCCCAGCUCUCUCAUGGAAUCUGGAGGAAUGUGGCCAGACCACCCAGGGCCACUUUGGCUCCUUUUCUCUCCAUUUCCACUCUCCAUCCCCCAUCAUCCUCCAGGGAGGCCUCCCCAGGAGCAGUGCGUGGUCACCCAAGUAGCUGUUGGGAGACCCUAGGUAAAUCCAUGGAAGCCAGGGCCAGGUGGCACUGAAAGAAGCGUGGGCCUAUCUCUUACUUCUUUCUUGGCAAACAGAGCCUUGGAUGCCGGCCUGAGCAGCGAUGUGAUCAGGAAACUUUCAUUCAGCUGAGCUCAGAAAUAAGUGAGGGUGGGCUGGAAUUUCCAUGGGUAGCGCAAAGUCGAAACUCACAUCCUUCUGGCCCUAUCACUUCUUUUAUUUCCAUAAAUUAUGGGCUCAGAGCUGAUAAGCUGUGGGUGCCAUGAAGAGCCAACACUUUGGCUUAGUACAGAGGGCCUGUCAUUAGUAUUUCUUUCAUGCUAUUAACAGAGCCCCAAGAACUUUCACAGAAGUAAAUUAUCAGAAGAAAGUGGCCUUGGCAUGGCUGGUUGUGAAUUAUAAUGAAAACAGCAAGUUUCCUGAGUAUUUUGCUGAAUGCUUUUCUCUUCCCAUUUUCCAGCUGCAUUCAGGCAAGAAACCAGCGCUGAAGAAACUAGGCAGUCUGCUGUGCGGUUAGACAGUUGUCUAAAACCGUGGACCCAGAGGGCUGCUUGCAGAGAAACCGGAGCCAAUUGCUUGAUUCCAAGCCAAGGAUGGAGGCAGGGACUUCCUGAUGGACGUCCUUUUACAGCAUUCCACUGCCACCAGAGCUGUCCUCCUUUGGUUAACUCCAUCAGCUUCUUGGGGGCUUCUGGAGCUUUGGUCUCUUUGUUUGGAAACUACACUCAGGAGAACUGGUGAUUCAUGGUUUUAGGAGUUAGCAGGAGAGAGAAGGAAAGCAGCCUGAUAAUAUGUCCACUUGUCCCUUGUCCUUCUAACCCGCAGGUCCACGACAGGCAGAAGAGGACAGUGACGUGGGUACGGGGCAGUCAAGUCUGCCAAGGCAAGUGUGGUCUGCCCAGUGGUCAGGAGCAUGGGGUGUGAGUGAAGGGUUGUCUCCCCUCUCCAGGCACGAGAGAAUGAAAGAAAAUAUAACAAUAAAUACUGCAGCUUCUUAACCCUACACUCUUCAAGUAUUGCUUGCUGUAAACAGUGUUUGAGUUUUGUUUUCCUUUUAUUUGCCAGGAACCAGGGCAUGACUGGAAUGGAAUCCAAAGCCAAAUGUCUUUGUCACCAACUCAACCCCCAGGGGACCUCCUGGAGGCCAGGCGGACACACUCCAGGCUGUUCCCCCAGAGUCCCUGCUUCAGGACAGGACUGAAUAGGGGUGGAGCUGCUGGUUGUCCUUGGGAAAGCAAGGGAUCUGGUCUGGGAGAGGCUCACCUCUCCUACUUGCCAAUUCACUUUAGGGAAACCAAAAAGGAAAAGUAUCAAAGGCCAGCUCCUCCUUCGUUGAGGUUUGGGAUUAAAUAAAACAGCAGCAGAAAGCACUGGUGCGCUAUUGAUAGCCCUUCUCUGUGGAGAUGAGAAUGGACAGGUGUGUGGGGACCAAUCGUAAGUCCCUGCCAGCCAGGCACAGCUACUUGAUGGCUUUGCACUGUGUGCCCGGUUCCAGGCGGCCACGCUCUCCCAGCAGCCAGGAGCUCCGGGCUGACUGGCGUUUGCGACGUGUUUGGUGUGGACACUGUGCUCAUUCAUCUCCUGCUGCUGCUUUUUUUGUUUUCUCCUUGUCCAAGGGAAAGGAGGCCUCUUCUUCCCUUUCGGCUCCUGCUUGGAUCUCUCCUUGGCUCUUCCUGACAUUUGGAAAGAGGACUUACACAGGGAGGGGAGGUGAUAGGGACUAGAAGGAAGGAGUGGAAAUCAGAGUUAAACAAAAGUUGGACGGGAUUAACAGGACGGCUUUUUGUUUUGUUUUAUUUCUUUUUUUCCUUUUUCUUAAAAAAAUUAAAUAAA
Cavia porcellus (domestic guinea pig) is the source of this 4036-nucleotide long non-coding RNA. RefSeq lists it as uncharacterized. The transcript is spliced from 2 exons. NCBI's taxonomy places the organism in Eukaryota, Metazoa, Chordata, Mammalia, Rodentia, Caviidae. The record is from RefSeq and is a predicted model, not a curated record.